Molecule: ribosomal RNA, 253 nt
Filed under: uncultured bacterium
Lineage: Bacteria
Description: partial 16S ribosomal RNA
Rfam family: Bacterial small subunit ribosomal RNA
Source: RNAcentral
CACGUAGGGUGCGAGCGUUGUCCGGAAUUAUUGGGCGUAAAGAGCUUGUAGGCGGUUUGUCGCGUCUGCUGUGAAAAUCCGGGGCUCAACCCCGGACUUGCAGUGGGUACGGGCAGACUGGAGUGUGGUAGGGGAGACUGGAAUUCCUGGUGUAGCGGUGGAAUGCGCAGAUAUCAGGAGGAACACCGAUGGCGAAGGCAGGUCUCUGGGCCACUACUGACGCUGAGAAGCGAAAGCAUGGGGAGCGAACAGG